CACUAAGAGAGGAGCUCGCGUCCUAUCAGCUAGUUGGUAGGGUAAUGGCCUACCAAGGCGAAGACGGGUAGCUGGUCUGAGAGGAUGGUCAGCCACAUUGGGACUGAGACACUGCCCAGACUCCUACGGGAGGCUGCAGUCGAGAAUCUUUAGCAAUGGGCGAAAGCCUGACUAUGCGACGCCGCGUGAGGGAUGAAGGCCUUCGGGUCGUAAACCUCUUUCGGUUGGGAAGAAUUUCCUUGGCAUUAAUAUGGUCAAGGAUUGACGUUACUAAAAGAAGAAGCCACGGCCAACUCCGUGCCAGCAGCCGCGGUAAUACGGAGGUGGCGAGCGUUACUCGGAUUCAUUGGGUGUAAAGGGCAGGUAGGUGUCCUAUAAAGUGGGGAGUGAAAUCCUUCGGCUUAAUCGAAGAAUUGCUUUCCAAACUGAUGGGAUUGAGUGUGAGAGAGGAAAGCGGAACUCUCGGUGUAAGGGUGAAAUCUGUAGAUAUCGAGAGGAACACCGGUAGCGAAGGCGGCUUUCUGGAUCACAACUGACACUGAGCUGCGAAAGCUAGGGGAGCGAACAGGAUUAGAUACCCUGGUAGUCCUAGCCGUAAACGAUGAGUACUUGGUGUCUUGGGUUAAACCAAGGUGCCGAAGUUAACACCUUUAAGUACUCCACCUGGGGAACUACGGCCGCAAGGCUAAAACUCAAAGGAAUUGACGGGGGCCCCCCCAAGCCGGUGGAACAUGUGGUUC
This 740-nucleotide ribosomal RNA is filed under the name uncultured bacterium. Its description in RNAcentral is "bacterial SSU rRNA". It matches the Rfam family "Bacterial small subunit ribosomal RNA", at positions 216 to 947 of the family's 1533-position model. The record is from RNAcentral.